AACGAACGCUGGCGGCAGGCUUAACACAUGCAAGUCGAACGCAUGCCUUCGGGCAUGAGUGGCAGACGGGUGAGUAACGCGUGGGAACCUACCCCUUGGUACGGGAUAGCUCCGGGAAACUGGAGAUAAUACCGUAUGUGUCCUGAGGGACAAAGAUUCAUCGCCAAGGGAUGGGCCCGCGUCGGAUUAGCUAGUUGGUGGGGUAACGGCCUACCAAGGCGACGAUCCGUAGCUGGUCUAAGAGGAUGAUCAGCCACAUUGGGACUGAGACACGGCCCAAACUCCUGCGGGAGGAAGCAAUUGUGAAUGUUGAACGAUGGGCGCGAGCAUGAGCUUGCCGUGCCGCGUGAGUGAUUUAUGCGCUAAGAUUGUAGAGCACUGUCACCGGUGACGAUAAUGACGGUAUCCAGAGAAGAAGCCACGGCUAACUUCGUG
Molecule: ribosomal RNA, 435 nt
Filed under: uncultured bacterium
Lineage: Bacteria
Description: partial 16S ribosomal RNA
Rfam family: Bacterial small subunit ribosomal RNA
Source: RNAcentral